ACCCGGUAGUUGCUCUCCACGAUGAUGUGCGCGUCGUUGACACUCCCCCCCUCGGGCGGGGGAACGGAGCCGGGGGCAACGGCCCCAGCCGCCCCGCCGCCGCCACUGACACCUGUACGACUGCCGCCUCCUCCUCCUUCCCCCCCGCCGCCAGCGCCUCCUCCUCCCCUUCCUCCGCCCCCACACAAGGACGCGGCCAGGCGAGUGGGUGUGAAGUAGAGGCUGCCGUCUGUUGCCUGAUGUGGCAACAGGGGGUGGGGGUGGGGGUGGGGGAAGGGGCAAUAUGUGGCGAUGCAGCAGCUCAGGAACCCAUUGCCUACUGGCGGGUGCAGAGCAGUUGUGUGUGGG
Molecule: long non-coding RNA, 348 nt
Filed under: Volvox carteri
Lineage: Eukaryota; Viridiplantae; Chlorophyta; Chlorophyceae; Chlamydomonadales; Volvocaceae
Description: long non-coding RNA (VCAR_LNC000320)
Source: RNAcentral